GGAAGUAAAAGUCGUAACAAGGUUUCCGUAGGUGAACCUGCGGAAGGAUCAUUGUCGAAACCUUCAAAGCAGACCCGCGAACACGUGUUUAACUUAUUUGGGCACCGAGAUUUGCCGGACAAGACGCUCGCGUCGACCGCAAGUCAACGUCCCGCUCCCGAGAGACGCUUGCGUUGAUCGGGAUAACGAACCCCGGCGCAAAACGCGCCAAGGAAAACUAAAUGAAGUGUCGCCGCCAUCCGAAUGCCCGUCCGCGGAUCCAUUCGUUUGGUUGAGGCAUCUCUCUAUGUCAAAACGACUCUCGGCAACGGAUAUCUCGGCUCUCGCAUCGAUGAAGAACGUAGCAAAAUGCGAUACUUGGUGUGAAUUGCAGAAUCCCGUGAAUCAUCGAGUCUUUGAACGCAAGUUGCGCCCGAAGUCUUUAGGCUGAGGGCACGCCUGCGUGGGCGUCACGCAUCGCGUCGCCCCCCUCACAAUCCCUUGGAAUGUGGAUGGGGCGGAUAUUGGCAUCCCGUGAUUUAAUUGCGCGGCCUGCCCAAAUGAGAUGUCGCAUCGUCGGAUGUCACGACUAUUGUUGGUUGAACUCUCUUCUUUAUGAUAUGUCGUGUCGGAACCCGUACGCUGUUUGUGCAUUUUUUAUAACCCAAUGGCUCGAAUCGUGCCUACGACCGCGACCCCACGUCAGGCGGGACUACCCGCUGAGUUUAA
This 708-nucleotide ribosomal RNA is filed under the name Callitriche palustris. RNAcentral's name for it is "eukaryotic LSU rRNA". The stretch from base 297 to 452 matches the Rfam family "5.8S ribosomal RNA". The record is from RNAcentral. Lineage: Eukaryota; Viridiplantae; Streptophyta; Magnoliopsida; Lamiales; Plantaginaceae.